Molecule: long non-coding RNA, 1555 nt
Organism: Oryza brachyantha (malo sina)
Lineage: Eukaryota; Viridiplantae; Streptophyta; Magnoliopsida; Poales; Poaceae
Exons: 3
Source: RefSeq, a predicted model, not a curated record
ACCGACGACGUUGCUUCUAGAUUGAGCUUUCCUUUAUGGUAUCAGAGCUCUCCUGGCAUGGCUAGCUCGUCCUCCACUGCAUCCACAAAUCCGGUCUUCGGCUUCACCAUCACCGAAAAGCUGACCAAGCAGAAUUUUGCGAUAUGGUCGGCUCAAAUGCUUGCGGCCAUCCGCGGCGCAAGCCUUGAGGGGCAUAUUGACGGCACGACCGCAGCCCCUGACGCCAAGAUCGACAAGACGCAGGGAGAGAAAGUUGUGAAGGUUGCGAAUCCUGAGUACCAGAAGUGGUUCGCUGCAGAUCAACAGCUACUCGGCUACAUCUUCUCAUCUCUUUCACGGGAGAUCCUUGGUCAGAUCACCGACUGUAGAUCGGCGCUCCAGGCAUGGCGUGCUAUCGAGAGUAUUUUCACCUCCCAAACACGCGCGCGCUCCCUCAACACCAGGCUUGCACUCCAAACAACGGUGAAAGGUACCAUGUCUGUUUCAGAGUAUUUUGGGAAGAUGAAAGCUCUAGCUGAUGAAGUAGCUGCAAAUGGCAAACCUCUAGAUGAGGAAGAUUUUAUUGCUUAUAUCCUAAAUGGUCUAGAUGGAGAAUUUGAUUCGGUAGUUUCUGCUAUUGGUAUAUAAACUGAACCAAUCUCUGUAAUGGAAGUAUAUUCCUAAGUUCUCAAUUUUGAGAAUAGACUAAAGCUCCGACAAGAAGCCACGGCAUCUGCACAUGCAGCAAGUCGCGGGCGUGGGGGCUUCAACCCACGCGCCGGUGGCUUCUCCGGCGGCGGCAACCAUGGGCGUGGUCGUGGUGCUUCUACUGGUGGCAGUAGAAGCACCAAUUUUCCUGGCGGUAGUGGUGGAGGCGGCGGCAACAACCGUGGCCGUGGCUACACUCCUACACGCAACAGAGGAAAUCAGCAACGUGUUGACACAAGGCCAUUCUGUCAAGUGUGCUAUAAGCGCGGCUGCAGCUCAAGCCGCCUAUGCUGUCGACACAAAUUGGUACAUUGAUUCCGGGGCGACUGACCACAUCACGAGUGAGUUGGACAAACUCACCGUUAGAGAGAAGUACAAAGGGGACCGAGCAGAUUCACACUACUAAUGGUGCAGGGACUGGACCAUGAGGAACAUAAUUCUUAAAGGGCAGUAUCAAAAGGGGCUCUAUCCUCUUCCUUCCGAAGGUGCUAAGUAUGUCUGUAGUGUUGUGUCGUCUUUUGCAAAAUGGCGUCUUUUGCAAAAUGGCACAAUCGUCUUGGUCAUCCAGCUACUCCCAUUGUCUCAAGAGCAGUUAGCCAGAAUAAAUUGUCAUGUCAAAAGUCUCAUAGUAAGUCUGUGUGUGAUGCUUGCCAAAAGGCUAAAAGUCAUCAGUUACCUUAUUCUAGAUCUACUAGUGUGUCUACUCGUCCUUUGGAACUUGUCUAUUCAGAUGUUUGGGGUCCUGUUCCUAGUUCUGUUGGAGGAAAUAAAUUCUAUUGUUAGUUUUAUUGAACAUAAAUCCGAAUUGUUUUAAAAAUUUCAUGAGUUCCAAGCUCUUGUUGAGCGUCUCCUUGGACACAAAAUUAUC